GAACGCUGGCGGCGUGCCUAAUACAUGCAAGUCGAACGAACUCUGGUAUUGAUUGGUGCUUGCAUCAUGAUUUACAUUUGAGUGAGUGGCGAACUGGUGAGUAACACGUGGGAAACCUGCCCAGAAGCGGGGGAUAACACCUGGAAACAGAUGCUAAUACCGCAUAACAACUUGGACCGCAUGGUCCGAGUUUGAAAGAUGGCUUCGGCUAUCACUUUUGGAUGGUCCCGCGGCGUAUUAGCUAGAUGGUGGGGUAACGGCUCACCAUGGCAAUGAUACGUAGCCGACCUGAGAGGGUAAUCGGCCACAUUGGGACUGAGACACGGCCCAAACUCCUACGGGAGGCAGCAGUAGGGAAUCUUCCACAAUGGACGAAAGUCUGAUGGAGCAACGCCGCGUGAGUGAAGAAGGGUUUCGGCUCGUAAAACUCUGUUGUUAAAGAAGAACAUAUCUGAGAGUAACUGUUCAGGUAUUGACGGUAUUUAACCAGAAAGCCACGGCUAACUACGUGCCAGCAGCCGCGGUAAUACGUAGGUGGCAAGCGUUGUCCGGAUUUAUUGGGCGUAAAGCGAGCGCAGGCGGUUUUUUAAGUCUGAUGUGAAAGCCUUCGGCUCAACCGAAGAAGUGCAUCGGAAACUGGGAAACUUGAGUGCAGAAGAGGACAGUGGAACUCCAUGUGUAGCGGUGAAAUGCGUAGAUAUAUGGAAGAACACCAGUGGCGAAGGCGGCUGUCUGGUCUGUAACUGACGCUGAGGCUCGAAAGUAUGGGUAGCAAACAGGAUUAGAUACCCUGGUAGUCCAUACCGUAAACGAUGAAUGCUAAGUGUUGGAGGGUUUCCGCCCUUCAGUGCUGCAGCUAACGCAUUAAGCAUUCCGCCUGGGGAGUACGGCCGCAAGGCUGAAACUCAAAGGAAUUGACGGGGGCCCGCACAAGCGGUGGAGCAUGUGGUUUAAUUCGAAGCUACGCGAAGAACCUUACCAGGUCUUGACAUACUAUGCAAAUCUAAGAGAUUAGACGUUCCCUUCGGGGACAUGGAUACAGGUGGUGCAUGGUUGUCGUCAGCUCGUGUCGUGAGAUGUUGGGUUAAGUCCCGCAACGAGCGCAACCCUUAUUAUCAGUUGCCAGCAUUAAGUUGGGCACUCUGGUGAGACUGCCGGUGACAAACCGGAGGAAGGUGGGGAUGACGUCAAAUCAUCAUGCCCCUUAUGACCUGGGCUACACACGUGCUACAAUGGAUGGUACAACGAGUUGCGAACUCGCGAGAGUAAGCUAAUCUCUUAAAGCCAUUCUCAGUUCGGAUUGUAGGCUGCAACUCGCCUACAUGAAGUCGGAAUCGCUAGUAAUCGCGGAUCAGCAUGCCGCGGUGAAUACGUUCCCGGGCCUUGUACACACCGCCCGUCACACCAUGAGAGUUUGUAACACCCAAAGUCGGUGGGGUAACCUUUUAGGAACCAGCCGCCUAAGGUGGGACAGAUGA
Molecule: ribosomal RNA, 1478 nt
Filed under: Lactiplantibacillus plantarum
Lineage: Bacteria; Bacillati; Bacillota; Bacilli; Lactobacillales; Lactobacillaceae
Description: bacterial SSU rRNA
Rfam family: Bacterial small subunit ribosomal RNA
Source: RNAcentral